This 402-nucleotide ribosomal RNA is filed under the name bacterium. Its description in RNAcentral is "partial 16S ribosomal RNA". It matches the Rfam family "Bacterial small subunit ribosomal RNA", at positions 355 to 776 of the family's 1533-position model. The record is from RNAcentral.
UGGGGAAUUUUGCACAAUGGGGGAAACCCUGAUGCAGCGACGCCGCGUGAUUUAGAAGGCCUUCGGGUUGUAAAAAUCUUUUCUAUGGGAAGAAAAUGACAGUACCAUAGGAAUAAGGACCGGCUAAUUACGUGCCAGCAGCCGCGGUAAUACGUAAGGUCCGAGUGUUGUCCGGAAUCAUUGGGCGUAAAGGGUACGUAGGCGGGUAAGCAAGUUAGAAGUGAAAUCCUAUAGCUCAACUAUAGUAAGCUUUUAAAACUGCUCAUCUUGAGGUAUGGAAGGGAAAGUGGAAUUCCUAGUGUAGCGGUGAAAUGCGCAGAUAUUAGGAGGAAUACCGGUGGCGAAGGCGACUUUCUGGCCAUAACCUGACGCUGAGGUACGAAAGCGUGGGUAGCAAACAGG